CUGGUGGGGUCAGGAGGCUGCUGUGUACCUGGAUUUGUCAGUGAAAGUAAGGGUGAGUUUCUCCUGGACACCAUGGCCCUGGUGCCCCAGAACACCCAGGGUGACCCCAGCACACAUGGGCACUGCAGGGCAGGUAAUGGGGUGCUGCUCACCCUGACUGGCUCCUGGGACUUGUACCUCAGGCAGCCCCUGGUGCUGUUGGCCUCGCCUCCAUCUGCCCUGGCACGUACCUGCUCCCACAGUGGGCCUCACUUCUCCCUUGGGCAUUCUCAGGUCCUUCUGUGCCACUCUGAACGUGUUCAGUGCCGGCAGGGUGCAGCAGAGGAAGGAGCGUGGUGAAGGGAGCAAAUCCUCAGCAAUUUUGUAGCGCAACCACAGGUAACGAUGGACAAGAACACCAAGGUUUCCCAGUGGUUUCUAAAGUGAUCUUGUUUUUAAACAGCCGUUUGGCCUAAGCAGUGUGAAUCUGCAAAAUAUGGUAAGUUGUUUCCCAGACUUUCCUGCUGGAUAAUGGGGAGCUGUGGGCUGGCAGCAGCUGUGGGGGGAACCUUGGAAGAGGACUUGGCUGGGCUGAGGGCAGCUCUCUCCUCUACAGGCCGUUCCACAGAGCAGGCGAGCAGCCGUGGCGUCUUCCCAGCAGACCUGGCACCCCCAGAAGGGGACAGCGGGCGCUCUGGUGUCACCGCGACACUCCAGACCUGCGGCUGAAGUCAAUCUCUGUCUUUCUGAGCGGCGGCCGUCUUUGCAGCGCACUGGUGAGCAGGAGCUGUUCCUCGGAGCUGGGGAGAGAUGCAGAGACCAGCUUAUGAAACCUGAAGAAGAGCUGGCACCCCCAGACCUUGCGCAAUGUGGAGAAGGUGUGGAAAGCCGAGCAGAAGCGUGAAGCCGAGCGGAAGAAGGUCGAGGAGCUGCGGCGCUGGCCUGAGGACACGGGCCCUGUCCCCUGAGGGGCUGCGGGGCCCCUGAGCGCUGUGGUUGCACGUGCAAGGUGGGCUAUAGCAGUGAGGUGGAACAGAGGUGCCUGAAGGGGAGUUUGGGAGGUACAGGUAGGUGUCCUCCUCGCAGCUCGUCAGGUGGGGUAGUCCGGAGACAAAUGCUUUCCUUCAGAAACGGUCACAUAAAAUUGAAGCUGGGAAGCUUUAUAAACAGCCGUUUGGCCUAAGCAGUGUGAAUCUGCAAAAUAUUGUGGCCUAA
Molecule: long non-coding RNA, 1194 nt
Organism: Egretta garzetta (little egret)
Lineage: Eukaryota; Metazoa; Chordata; Aves; Pelecaniformes; Ardeidae
Exons: 3
Source: RefSeq, a predicted model, not a curated record